AGCAUGGCCAAGAGGGAGGCCUCUAAGCAAGGUAUCCAAGGACGAAAUCAUUCUGCCCUUUACAGAAGGCUUCCUGGAGCAGGUGAAAGUGAAUGAGGGUGUGAACUGGUAGGAGAGUUGGACAAUACAAGGAAACAAAGACACUGGGUGAGGAGGUUCAGGAAGAGGACUGAAGGCCAGCUGGAAUGGAGGCUCUUGUCAGGAAAUAAGGAAAGGAUAGGCACAGGAGACUUUUGGGGUAGGAGUCCCAAACUGGGAAAAGCAUCUGGGCUGCCAGGUGGCUAAAGCCUGCUGAAUCUACAGUGAGGUUGCUUGAGCUGAGCCACUGUGGGAUGUGAGGGACACUAAGGAGGUCCCAAGGCAGCCAGGUAUGUGAUGGCAAGCAGUGACUGGGGCUCCAUCCCCCAGGUGCUCCACAACACAGAAGACCGAGCCAGGAGAGAGCCCUUCCCCUCUGUGGGUUGAAGAACACUGGCUUUUGAGAGACGACGAUCUACCGGGCAUGGCUGGGUCAUUCAGGGUGUGACUGCCAGGCUGCUAACAAAGAGUGUGCAGCGGCUCCCUUAAGGACAGGACAGCAAAUAGGAACCACAGUGUCCAGUCCCUGCCUGGCAGCACGUAGCCACCCAGCAUGAAGGAUAGUCAUUCAGGAAGGGCUCUGUUGCCUUCCAAAUUGCCUGGGCUUUGGGCAGAGGCCUUCUCCUCCUUGAGAGCGCUUAACCCCCAGGGCAACACAGGGCCUCUGUUCCAAGACAAAAAGCAUGCUGAGGUGACACCGACCAUGCCUUUCUUUACCUUGGCAAUCUCAUGCCCACACCUAAAUAUAGAUGCUGGUGCAGAACAUCUGCCCGCUGCCACAGAAUUGGUAAAGUCCGACUUACAACAGAAGGGCAUGGUGUUAAGACUCUAGAAGCUUUUCACUACGCGUUGUUAGGAUCCCAAGUUCCUUUUUCGUUCAGAUUGAACAUCCUCAGCUACAGGUGAAGAUGGCACGUGGCCUGGUGGCGGGAGACAGCCAUGCAAACUGGACAGACAUGCAGCUUCUCACCAGGAGGGAGGAAGAGGCAUUGAGCCCCAGGGCCCCAGCCUGAGGCUUCCCUCUGAACGGGACUUCUCUCAGUGGCUCCAAACUACCCUGAGAAGGAGGUAAAUCAAAGUUCACGCUGGAAACAUCAAACCCAAGCAGAAGAAUAACACAGAGCAAGAUCGUGGAUGGUCCUAGCUCUUUAAAAUCACACUUAAAAAUCACUUUAUCUUUCUUAAUAAAUUAUUGCAAGCUGAA
Molecule: long non-coding RNA, 1282 nt
Organism: Felis catus (domestic cat)
Lineage: Eukaryota; Metazoa; Chordata; Mammalia; Carnivora; Felidae
Exons: 2
Source: RefSeq, a predicted model, not a curated record